GUCUUCUAUGACCAGGUCACAAAAGCCUUGGACACGGGUGUCGCGGGGGACGUAGUCUUCCUGGACUUUAGGAAGGCCUUCAACACUGUCUCUCACCCCAUCCUCAUUAAAAAAUUAGGCGUCUGUGGUGUCGACACCUACACAGUCAAAUGGAUCGCAAAUUGGCUGGAGGGCUACAGCCAGAAAGUGGUGGUGGACAGGUCAUUUUUGACCUGGAGGAAUGUGGGUAGUGGGGUUCCCCAGGGCUUGGUCCUUGGGCCUGCACUGUUCAAUAUCUUCAUCGGUGAUUUGGAUGGGGGGCGUGAAAAGCACCUUGUUCAAGUUCGCAGAUGACACUGAGAUGUGGAGAGAAGUGAGCACACUAGAAGAGAAGGACAGGCUACAACUAGAUCUCGACAGGUUACAGAGGUGGGCAGAUGAGAACAGGAUGGGUUUCAAUACGGACAAGUGCAAUGUGUUGCACCUGGGGAGGAAGAACCAGCAGCAUACCUACAGGCUAGGGAACUCCUUUCUCAUCAGCACAGAGGCAGAGAAGGAUCUUGGAAUCACUACUGAUUCCAAGAUGAACAUGGGCAGCCAAUGUGGGGACACAGUCAGGAAGGCUAAUUGCACCUUGUCAUGCAUCCAUAGAUGCAUCAUGAACAGGUCCAAGGAGGUGAUCCUCCCCCUCUAUGCGACAUUGGUCAGGCCGCAGUUGGAGUACUGUAUCCAGUUCUGGGUGCUGCACUUCAGGAGGGAUGUGGACAACAUGGAGAGGGUCCAGAGGAGAGCCAAUCGCAUGAUUAGGGGGCAACAUGACAGGCCCUACAAGGAGAGGCUAUGGGACCUGAACCUGUUCAGCCUCCACAGAAGAAGGCUGAGAGGGGAUCUGGUGGCCACCUAUAAACUUGCCAAGGGGGACCAGCAGGCAAUGGAAGAAUCCCUGUUCCCUCGACCACUACCUGGAGUAACAAGGAACAACAGCCAUAAGUUGACUGAGUAGAUUCAGGCUAGAUAUCAGGAGGCGCUACUUCACUGUUGGGGCGGCUAGUAUCUG
RNAcentral lists this long non-coding RNA (1036 nucleotides) under Crocodylus porosus (Australian saltwater crocodile). RNAcentral's name for it is "lncRNA (ENSCPRG00005009632.1)". Lineage: Eukaryota; Metazoa; Chordata; Crocodylia; Crocodylidae. The record is from RNAcentral.